This 863-nucleotide ribosomal RNA is filed under the name Cadophora sp. JCM 28153. Its description in RNAcentral is "eukaryotic LSU rRNA". The stretch from base 522 to 675 matches the Rfam family "5.8S ribosomal RNA". The record is from RNAcentral. Lineage: Eukaryota; Fungi; Ascomycota; Leotiomycetes; Helotiales; Ploettnerulaceae.
UUUCACCACGGAGACCGUGCAGCCCUGCGGGGAGGCAGCGCGACUGUAAACAACGCUGCCGCUUGCAAGUCAGCGUACUGGCAACACAAUCGAAUUGCGGGGACCUCCUAAAGCUCGAGCUACUAAGUUGGGACCGAAAGGCCCUGAUGCCGUCAGAACGCUCGAGAUGCUACAAUGGACAAUCCGCAGCGAAGACCCUACCGCGCAAGCCACGGGGAUCGUUCACAGACUAAGUGAUUGUGGGUAGGCAACUACUUAAGAUAUAGUCGAGCCUGAGCCGAAAGGCUGAGGGUGCCACUGUCCGUAGGUGAACCUGCGGAAGGAUCAUUAAUAAACCUAGUCGUUCGCGUACAUAGGGGCAACCCUCGCGUGAUGUCAGCAAUACCUAGGUAACCCUUGAAUAAACUACCCUCGUUGCUUUGGCGGGCCGCCUCCCAGGCCAGCGGCUCCGGCUGCUGCGCGCCCGCCAGAGGACCACAACUCUUGUUUUUAGUGACGUCUGAGUACUAUAUAAUAGUUAAAACUUUCAACAACGGAUCUCUUGGUUCUGGCAUCGAUGAAGAACGCAGCGAAAUGCGAUAAGUAAUGUGAAUUGCAGAAUUCAGUGAAUCAUCGAAUCUUUGAACGCACAUUGCGCCCUUUGGUAUUCCGAAGGGCAUGCCUGUUCGAGCGUCAUUAUAACCACUCAAGCCUUCGCUUGGUCUUGGGGCUCGCGAUCCCGCGGCCCCUAAACUCAGUGGCGGUGCCUGUCGGCUCUACGCGUAGUAAUACUCCUCGCGUCUGGGUCCGGUAGGUUGCCUGCCAGCAACCCCCAAUUUUUACAGGUUGACCUCGGAUCAGGUAGGGAUACCCGCUGAACUUAA